GGGGGGGUAAGUGAAAGAGGGCGUCUGACGGAGAUGAGAGUAUUUAUAGGUGGAGAGAUGAGAAGGUAGAACGACAGAGAGAGGGAGAGAGAGAGAGAGAGAAUCCAGACACAAUAAGAGGAGAAGAAGACAAAGAGGAGCGAGCGAGGGAGCAUGUUGAGGAGGAAGAGGAGCGUGUCGUUCGGAGGCUUCGGAUGGAUUGAUAAGUCCACCGUCAGCGCCCUCAGAGCUCGUAAACAGGAACUUCUGACCAUCUCCAAUGUUGCUGUGGCAGACUGCCCCCCCUCUCCGCCCCGCACCGCACCCCCCAC
Paralichthys olivaceus (Japanese flounder) is the source of this 311-nucleotide non-coding RNA. The record is from RefSeq and is a predicted model, not a curated record. Lineage: Eukaryota; Metazoa; Chordata; Actinopteri; Pleuronectiformes; Paralichthyidae.